GAUGAACGCUGGCGGCGUGCCUAAUACAUGCAAGUCGAGCGAACAGACGAGGAGCUUGCUCCUCUGACGUUAGCGGCGGACGGGGGAGUAACACGUGGAUAACCUACCUAUAAGACUGGGAUAACUUCGGGAAACCGGAGCUAAUACCGGAUAAUAUAUUGAACCGCAUGGUUCAAUAGUGAAAGACGGUUUUGCUGUCACUUAUAGAUGGAUCCGCGCCGCAUUAGCUAGUUGGUAAGGUAACGGCUUACCAAGGCAACGAUGCGUAGCCGACCUGAGAGGGUGAUCGGCCACACUGGAACUGAGACACGGUCCAGACUCCUACGGGAGGCAGCAGUAGGGAAUCUUCCACAAUGGGCGCAAGCCUGACGGAGCAACGCCGCGUGAGUGAUGAAGGUCUUCGGAUCGUAAAACUCUGUUAUUAGGGAAGAACAAAUGUGUAAGUAACUAUGCACGUCUUGACGGUACCUAAUCAGAAAGCCACGGCUAACUACGUG
RNAcentral lists this ribosomal RNA (497 nucleotides) under uncultured bacterium. RNAcentral's name for it is "partial 16S ribosomal RNA". It matches the Rfam family "Bacterial small subunit ribosomal RNA", at positions 28 to 507 of the family's 1533-position model. The record is from RNAcentral.